GGGAGGGUGGUCUAGCUUGGUAUGAUACAUAAUUUGUCAUGCCGAGUGGUCGGGGGUUCAAUUCCCCCCUCUCCCA
This 76-nucleotide transfer RNA is filed under the name Promethearchaeota archaeon. Its description in RNAcentral is "Candidatus Lokiarchaeota archaeon tRNA-Thr". It matches the Rfam family "tRNA". Rfam says of the family: Transfer RNA (tRNA) molecules are approximately 80 nucleotides in length. Their secondary structure includes four short double-helical elements and three loops (D, anti-codon, and T loops). The record is from RNAcentral. Lineage: Archaea; Promethearchaeati; Promethearchaeota.